AGAAAAAGUGUGGGAUUUCAAGGAAUCAAGCAAUCAAAGGUGGUGAGCCCUCUAACAAGGGUAAAGAGAUUGUGCCCGAAGACCGAGAAUAAGAGUAUAUCGAAUUUCUAGUACUGGUCAGAGUAGGCUGUAGAUAGCUGGUUCCAUCGAGGAUUUCCAUUGGAUUGCGUCUUCCAAACUGUAGGUUCACAGCUUCUUUAAUUCUAGUUAUUAUGAGCCCACUUGAUAUUGUAAAUUUAAUAAUUUA
Molecule: non-coding RNA, 247 nt
Organism: Theobroma cacao (cacao)
Lineage: Eukaryota; Viridiplantae; Streptophyta; Magnoliopsida; Malvales; Malvaceae
Source: RefSeq, a predicted model, not a curated record